This is a non-coding RNA of Podarcis muralis (Common wall lizard), 2971 nucleotides long. The record is from RefSeq and is a predicted model, not a curated record. Lineage: Eukaryota; Metazoa; Chordata; Lepidosauria; Squamata; Lacertidae.
UGCUUUCGUUAUAUCUUUUUGCCCCUUUUUAGUAAAUAGUUUAAUCUCCUGUGAUAGUUUUAAGCCCCGACUUUGACAGUACAGCUUAUCCUGGAUAAUAACUUAGUAACCACAACAUCUUAUGCCAUCUGUAUAAUAUCAAAUACAUUUUUAUAUCAGCAUUAAAAAAAAAACAUUACUUACAAAAAUCCAAGAUAUUAACUGUAUCACCGCCAGCUGAACUUCCCAGGACCUGAGCACAUUGUUGCCAUGAUUACCCUUGUGUUUUUUUGGCUUCAUAGCUGAUAUAUAAGUACAGCCAUGAAACAGAGCUACAAGUAAUCAAGUUUAAUGGCCACUGUAAAGUAAAAUGCUAAACAUUGUAGUUGCUGACAUUUUUCAUAGGGGGGAAAAAAAACUUGGGUUAAGUCUGCCUGACCAACAUUCACAUAAAAUGCCAGACCUCUGUGACAGAUGGCUUAGGAGAAGAUGCCAUGCAAUGGGGGAUGCAGUAGUUUUAUAGUGCAAAAACCAUAAAUAGUGCAGAUUUUCUGUCACUGACAAAAUACCAGCAACUCAGAAGGCAGGAGACAACAGCAAACAAAUUCCAUAAAACAGUCAAAGUCUUCUCAAAUUAAAUCACAGAUCCAAACAUGUCAGGAAACACAUCUGACAAUUGGGAAUCUGGCCUUAUUUAGCAGCACCAAAGAGGCUUGGUUGGAAGACAAUACACGUUUGUUGAUGUGAAUAUGAAGAUACUGGCGAGGGCUAUCUUCUGAUGUGCAAGGGAGUUGGGUUGGAGUGAAGCUCUGGCCUGCAGGCCAAAUGUGGCCUACUUGGCCAACUCAGUCAGGACCCCUGAAAGUGCCCCAGGUUACCCCUCAUGUACUCCUGCUUUAAAGACACCUGAGCCAAUGCCCAUCACCACAACUUGAAGCAGAGGUUCUGGGGGAUGGUGCUGGUUGAACAGAUCGGCAGCUAUACUGAGAAAUCUCAAGUUGCUUCACCAAGUUUGUUCUGCAGAGACAAUGAAGGGAACAAUGAGAAAGAACAAUACUGCAGCAAUUGGACAACCAGAAAGACUGUUUAAAAGAGAUUUGCCACAUAUGAGGAGCCGUGAACAACCUGCAUUUCUUCUCUCCAAAGAUCUAGGAUCUUUAUAGUGCAUUUUGGCAGCAUAAGCAAAAUACUCCCCACAUGAUUCUGUGGUUCAUCUAGAUCUCACUGUUCAUCUGUGGUUCAUCUAGAUCUCACUGCUUAUGGAAGUCCAACCAUGUCUCUUUCCAGAGCUAACUCAGGCAUCUCUUUCCUGCUGGGGCUUCCUCCCCCCUGCAAUUUUUGAGGAUCCCUUGAUCGUUGCAGGUUUGGGCAACUCUUGAGCAAGAUGUUCUCAAUAGGAAGGUCUGCCCUUGUCCUCACUAGCGGCACUGCUGCCCAUUCAUUUGACCUCUCCCUCGGUGUCCAGUGAUGCUGAAUCUUAAUACCUGCCCUGUUAGGCUGCCCUUGUUCAUCCACUCAUACUUCAGCCCUGGGCUGUGAACUCCUCACCUGCCCUUCACUACCUUCACCAGCAGUAAAAUUGGCUGUGUAAAUAUUAUAUUCAUAAUAUAAUGCUCAUUUCCGUAUCUAUUUCUGUUGGGGUGAAGUCAACCCAAGCCAAAUGUAUCAAUGAUUUUGGUGUGUUGGAUAAAAUCAUGAUGAAUCAUAACCUGAACAUAUGUUGAGGAAGUCAGAAGAAGUACAUUUGGGGUUGAAGGGAAUCAAAUCAGAUUGCUUUCACCACAUAAAAUUGGUUUUAUCUGUGUUCCUUUGGAAUUUGCUUUAAUUCCUGUUGUUCUUAGUUAUUAAUUAAGGUGAAGCAACACAACUAUUUAACUUAUAUACAAAUAUACAAUUCAAAGCAAAAGUAAAAAAUAAUAUCAGAGAGUGGGCAGCACACAUUUAUAUAGAUCUUCCCUGUCUCUUCGGGCAGAAGUGAUGAACUGCCUGCCUGUUAGCCAAGUCUCCCUACCCUCACCCAAGCAAUUUCAUCUGCCCUCCAAGAACUCAGAAAUGCAACAACGGCAUCUGCAGCAAGUCCCUCUGCUGCACUGGGCUGGAAGGAGAGAGUUAAAUGAUGCCCUCUCUGCUCAUCAAAUCAAUGAUCUGUAGAGCAGAGGGCAAGAUUUCCCCCUCAAUCUUGGUACUGGACAAGACAGAGUUUCCUCUCUGACCAGCACUGUAAUGGGGGGAACUAACCUUUGCUCUUCUUCUGAUCUGCACAGAUUGCUGGGAAGUGCGAGGGAACCCCUCUCUGAAUGUGUGUGUGCUCUGAUUGAGUAUGUAAUAUGUGCAUGCUCACUUUUUUAGACAUACCCACACCCAUGGCACAUGUCCCCCAGAGAGCAAUCACCCCCAAAAGGCUAGCCACCCUAUCUCUAAGCAUUGGUUUCAAUAGCUUAUGAUCAUUGAGUGAACCUAUUUCUAUUGCAUUUAUCCAUAAACACUAAUAUUUUCAAUACUGCACUAAAGUAAAUUGGCACAAUCCAGUCAAAGUUAAGCAUGUUUAACACUCAAAUAUGCCACUGGGACCAUUAAAUAUGUGCUCAACUCUCUACCACUGAAAACACUGAAUCUAGAAGUGCUUCAUUUUGGCUGGAUUGUGUCCUAAAAUUGUACACACUAUACAGAUACCACUUGUAGGGUAUAAGGGAUGGUUUUAUGGGGGUAGGAUUGCAGAAGCCAAGUACCUAUGCUGCCAUUUUGAUAUAACGUGAGUGACAAAUAUUAAUUAAAAUGUUCCCUUCUUGAACAGGUUAGUUCAGGGAUGGGGCAACAGUAGACCUGCAGAUGUUAUUGGGUUGUAGUUCCCAUCAACAUUGAGCAUUGGCAUGCCAGUUGUGGAUAGAGGGAAGUGGAUUUCAACAACAUCUGGAGUUGACUGUUUCUGCAUCCCUGGCCUAGUUUAUCACCAGUGGUAACAGACUAGGAUUUACCUUCUGUGAGUGUUGCG